GCGCAGCAGUUGCGAAAACUCCGCAAUGCACGAAAGUGUGACGGGGCUACCCCGAGUGCCGUCCGCUGAGGGCGGCUUUUCCCUGGUGUAAGGAGCCGGGGGAAUAAGGAGAGGGCAAGUCUGGUGUCAGCCGCCGCGGUAAUACCAGCUCUCCGAGUGGUAGGGAUGUUUAUUGGGCUUGAAGCGUCCGUAGCUGGCCUGACAAGUCUUCCGUUAAAUCCAACGAUUCAAUCGUUGGACUGCGGGAGAUACUGUUGGGCUAGGGGGCGGAAGAGGCCGACGGUAUUCUCGGGGUAGGGGUAAAAUCCUAUAAUCCCGGGAAGACCACCAGUGGCGAAGGCGGUCGGCUAGAACGCGCUCGACGGUGAGGGACGAAAGCUGGGGGAGCGAACCGGAUUAGAUACCCGUGUAGUCC
This 415-nucleotide ribosomal RNA is filed under the name uncultured crenarchaeote. RNAcentral's name for it is "partial 16S ribosomal RNA". It matches the Rfam family "Archaeal small subunit ribosomal RNA", at positions 330 to 747 of the family's 1478-position model. Lineage: Archaea; Thermoproteati; Thermoproteota. The record is from RNAcentral.